CUACAUACAGGCUUGAUAGAGAAUUGUGAAAUGUAUUAGUCACGAUGACACACAACGUCACAAUCAGGAUCCGAAACAGUGACACGUCAAAGCUACGUGGCCAUUAUAACGAAAAGAUGAAAAACUACUUCCUUUUAUGAUGCCCUUUGAAGAAGAUAAUAUGAAAGUCUACUAAAAUGUUAUGUCGAGGGAGAAAAUAUAGCAUAUCAAAUUGAGAGAAGGAGAAGGAGAAGAAUAAGAAGUAAUAGAGGAGGAAGAGAGUGUAGAAAAGGAAGAUGAGCUCCGCAAAAGGCCUGAAACUUUGAGGGAGGAGGUCAGUCGAUUAGAUCGAUUCCUGCACUCACCUGAUACUUAAUUUAUCGACCCUGAAAGGAUGAAAUGCAAAGUCGACCUCGGCGGAAUUUGAACUCAAGUAAAAGAAUAAAAGAAAACGUUUCAAAAUUCAUUUCCUUUGACCAUAAGAAAGAAGCAAUAAUUGUCUAUAAGCAUGUUUUAAUUACUCGUAUUUUGUAUGCUAAAUAAUAACCAUGGAAUUCUUUUUCUUGGUGGAAAGCUAAUUGAAAUUCCAUCUACCGACUUAAUUACUUCCAGUUGUGUCUGACAACUUAAAUAUGGUAUAUAUGUGAUGUAUAUUUUAAUAGCGAUGUCAAUAUUCUCAAAGAAAAGCAAAACAAAAGAUGACAUUUUUCAAA
Octopus bimaculoides (California two-spot octopus) is the source of this 692-nucleotide long non-coding RNA. RefSeq lists it as uncharacterized. NCBI's taxonomy places the organism in Eukaryota, Metazoa, Mollusca, Cephalopoda, Octopoda, Octopodidae. The record is from RefSeq and is a predicted model, not a curated record.